Long non-coding RNA from Arachis duranensis, 1461 nucleotides. RefSeq lists it as uncharacterized. The record is from RefSeq and is a predicted model, not a curated record. NCBI's taxonomy places the organism in Eukaryota, Viridiplantae, Streptophyta, Magnoliopsida, Fabales, Fabaceae. The transcript has 3 exons.
CCUUCCAACAGCAGCGGCAAUACACGCAGUUUCCUUUAAUUUCCAUGAAAGAGAAAAACUGAGGCAGAGAGGGAGAUGGAGGCUGAGUUGCGGCAGAGGAGAGGCGGAAGGAAGCUCAUCGCGUUGCCGUCGCCUCGCCACCGCGCCACCGCGCCGUUGCCGUCGCUGGAGAAGCUUCACGCACCGCUGUCACUCCCUGGCGCCACCGCAGAAGCCGCCCUCGCCAAUGCCAUGAAUCGCGAAGAAGAGAAAGGACUCACGCCGCCUUCGCCACUGUCAAUCCAUCGAAGCUGGCGUGAGAGAAGAGGAGGAAGGGGCGUUGUCUUGCACUGUUGCAGCCGCACCUAGGCACCGCUGCUGCAAGCUCAUGUUGUUGCGUUGCCGUGCCAUCAUCACCUUGGAUCUUCUCUGUUCGCGACCUGAGCUAAGGGAGAAGAGAUGAACGCGUCGAAGAGGGGCAGAACUCGGGUCUCGUCGCCACCGUCCAUGGGGCCUCGAGCCGCGUCGCUGUCACCGGCAAGAGGGGGAAGACGCGAGCUGGAGGAGCAAGAUGAGUCCUUCUGCCUCCGUUGUUUUGGUCCGCUGAGAAACGGAAGGUGCUGCCCUUGUGCUUCACGGUCGCCGACGAACACGGAGAAGAGGAGCUGUGGCCGCAUCACUACCGUUUGGAGGACUAUGCCUGGCCGCCGUUGUACCGCCCUACUUCACCGUGGCUGAGCUCUGCCACUUCCUGCCCCUUUUGGCGUGUGAUGUUGUUGCGGGAAUCGCUAUAGGAAGAGGAGCAGGCUGAGUCACCAGGAUUUGGGCCGCUGUGACUUCCGGGAUCACCAACGGAGCUCCGGGCUGAGCUUCUCCCACUUAAGACCCUGCUGCUGCUGCUGCUGGAAAAGUUUGCCGUUGAUGUGAUUGGAAUUCGUCGCUGCUUCCGCUUGAGGUGGUUACCGGACUGCCGCCGAGCCGGUUCGGAGAUUGCCACCAUUUUGGUUCAGCUAUUUCUCCUUCGGUUUGAGUUGUUGAGACUGUUACGAAAGUGGCUUGGAGCUGAGGUUUUGGUUGCCGUCAGUUCGGUUUGAGACGAAAAGGACUUGAUGAGGCAUUUGGGUUAUGGAAUUGCGUUUUGAGGAUAUGGGCGCAGAAGUUACGAAGGGUUUAUUUAGUUGUUGUUGAAAUGCUCUGUAUGCUUUAGAUUAUUAUUUGUUGUACCCUUGCCCUUAUCUUGAUAUCUUCUGUAAGAGGGAUAGGGAUUGUAUUAGAUAAUGCUUGUAAUAUUAUUUAUAUAUAUGUAUGUAUGUAUAUGGAUGUACUCUUUAUGAGUUUCUACAAGUUGUAUGGUAUGUAUGGAUGUACGUUGUAUAGCAAAAGUAUCUUUGGGAGCGGUUUUGCGGUUUAAAGUUUUAAACAGGCUUAUAUUUUAGUAUUAAAUAGUAUAGGUGUCGUCGUAAUGUCCAAACUAUCAGAGUC